UGCCGCGUGAGUGAUGAAGGCCUUCGGGUUGUAAAGCUCUUUUGUUGGGGACGAUGAUGACGGUACCCAACGAAUAAGCCCCGGCUAACUUCGUGC
This 96-nucleotide ribosomal RNA is filed under the name uncultured bacterium. RNAcentral's name for it is "partial 16S ribosomal RNA". It matches the Rfam family "Bacterial small subunit ribosomal RNA", at positions 395 to 508 of the family's 1533-position model. The record is from RNAcentral.